GAGUAUAACUGAAGCACAUAUUGCUGGAUGCUACAGAGAAAAUCACAUGGAGAAUAACACUAAUGGACAUGUAAACACACAUCGAUAAAUACAAUACAAUUAGCCCUCCAGAACUGAUGGAAAGAACACAGCAGAGGAGCUUUUAUGUAUACAUGAAGCUAUUCUCAUUCUGUGUAUUAGAAUCCAACUCCUUGGCAAAAACUAAACAGCCUCCAAAAAGCCUGCUGGAUUGGCUCUGUCCAUUCCUCAUACUAUGACAAAGAACUGUGGAGCGUCAAUAGGGAAAAGAAAAGGGCAUGGGGGCACUGCAGGAAACUCUGCAAGGACUCUGCAUUUCAUCUGGAGAACAAUGGACUGGAAGAGUACAUAAUCUAUCCCCUUCACAUCAACACACAAGCACUGAUAUUUCUCUGAUAUUUGCUGCUACAACCUCCCCAGAUGCAGCCACAACUUACUUUGUUGUUUCUUUACACUGAACACAUACCUUAGCUGACCUUGCUUCCUGAAGUGCAAAUUGCGCAAAUGUAAUCUUUGCAAAAUUCCUCAUAUUCCUCAAACAUUUGCUCAAACUUCAUCAUUUUUGAAGACUCUGAUCACCCUACAAAUGCUACAGACAUCUACCAACUCAGCAUUCUAUUCAUUUAAUUACUCCAAUAUUGUCAUUGUUUCAAAUAUCCAUAACCUUUUAAUGUAUUAUAUAAAUUAUUUAUUAUUGUAGAAAAUGAAAAUUAGCUGGACAGCAAAUAUCUACCCAGUCAAAAAAGAUUUAGAUAAAUUCAGCUGGAAAGUUAACAGGAAACACAUUUCUUCCAAGGUUUGUGGCCACUGAAAAGUGGUAAGAUAACUGCCUUCU
RNAcentral lists this long non-coding RNA (853 nucleotides) under Homo sapiens (human). RNAcentral's name for it is "HSALNT0325471". Lineage: Eukaryota; Metazoa; Chordata; Mammalia; Primates; Hominidae. The record is from RNAcentral.